AAUGGGGGAAACCCUGACGCAGCAACGCCGCGUGGGGGAUGAAGGCCUUCGGGUCGUAAAGCCCUGUCGGGAGGGAAGAAAUGAUUGAGGGUUAAUACCUCUUGAUCUUGACGGUACCUCCGAAGGAAGCACCGGCUAACUCCGUGCCAGCAGCCGCGGUAAUACGGAGGGUGCAAGCGUGGUUCGGNAUUAUUGGGCGUAAAGCGCGUGUAGGCGGUCUUUUAAUGCUGAUGUGCAAGCCCCGGGCUCAACCUUGGAAGUGCAUUGGAAACUGGGGGACUUGAGUACGGGAGAGGAGAGUGGAAUUCCUAGUGUAGGAGUGAAAUCCGUAGAUAUUAGGAGGAACACCGGUGGCGAAGGCGGCUCUCUGGACCGAUACUGACGCUGAGACGCGAAAGCGUGGGUAGCAAA
RNAcentral lists this ribosomal RNA (411 nucleotides) under uncultured bacterium. RNAcentral describes it as "bacterial SSU rRNA". It matches the Rfam family "Bacterial small subunit ribosomal RNA", at positions 370 to 772 of the family's 1533-position model. The record is from RNAcentral.